CACCGCGGUUAUACGAGAGGCCCUAAUUGAUAGAAACGGCGUAGAGAGUGGUUAUGGGAUCCCCCAAAAUUAAAGUCGAAAACCCCCUUGUCUGUUAUACGCACCCGGGGGCUCUAAGCCCGCUAACAAAAGUGACUUUAUUAUUGUCCACCAGAACCCACGACAGCUAGG
RNAcentral lists this ribosomal RNA (171 nucleotides) under Stolephorus indicus (Indian anchovy). Its description in RNAcentral is "partial small subunit ribosomal RNA". Lineage: Eukaryota; Metazoa; Chordata; Actinopteri; Clupeiformes; Engraulidae. The record is from RNAcentral.